RNAcentral lists this ribosomal RNA (461 nucleotides) under uncultured bacterium. RNAcentral describes it as "SSU rRNA". It matches the Rfam family "Bacterial small subunit ribosomal RNA", at positions 26 to 518 of the family's 1533-position model. The record is from RNAcentral.
AGAAUCAACGCUGGCGGCGUGCCUAACACAUGCAAGUCGCACGAGAAAGGGGAGCAAUCCCUGAGUACAGUGGCGCACGGGUGAGUAACACGUGAAUAAUCUACCUCCGAGUGGGGAAUAACUGAGAGAAAUCUUAGCUAAUACCGCAUAAUACCCACGGGUCAAAGCAGUAAUGCGCUUGGAGAGGAGUUCGCGGCAGAUUAGUUAGUUGGCGGGGUAAUGGCCCACCAAGACGAUGAUCUGUAUCCGGCCUGAGAGGGCGCACGGACACACUGGAACUGAAACACGGUCCAGACUCCUACGGGAGGCAGCAGUGGGGAAUUUUGCGCAAUGGGGGAAACCCUGACGCAGCAACGCCGCGGUGGAGGAUGAAGCCCCGUUGGGGUGUAAACUCCUUUCGAUCGGGAAGAUAAUGACGGUACCGAUAUAAGAGCCCCGGCUAACUUCGCGCCAGCAGCCGC